Aedes aegypti (yellow fever mosquito) is the source of this 973-nucleotide long non-coding RNA. RefSeq lists it as uncharacterized. NCBI's taxonomy places the organism in Eukaryota, Metazoa, Arthropoda, Insecta, Diptera, Culicidae. The record is from RefSeq and is a predicted model, not a curated record. The transcript has 2 exons.
UACUAUUCGGAGAUACGGCUGUUUUAAUAAUUUAUCGAGAUUUAUCUUUAUUAAGGUGGAUUUUCGCCAUUGGCGAAUUCGCUACACAAAAAAGAUUACGCUUUUUACUUUGUUGUUUUUGCUUUCUGCGUUUGGAAACAUGUAUUUGUUUGUAUCCGCGAAUCCUAAUGAUUUUUCCAUCGGGUCUCCUACAGCCUUGCGAAAAUCUCAAAUUCGCAUAUAUCAUGCUUGAGAAGUUUUAAGCUUGAGUUUUAGCCUGCGCAACUCAACUGUUUAGCCAAAAGAUCAUGGCAUUGUAUUUCGGCAGAUUUCCUAUUGGUUUCAAGAUUCAAUCAUUUUUGACGACAUGAGUGGCGAACAAGGGAUUUCGCAUCAAAAUCUCAUGCGUGAGUUUUGCUAAGCAGAUCUCAAAUGAGUUUGCUCUCGCGGGAUAACUCAAUGAUUGAGAUAUGAGUGUGAGUCUACCAACACUGGUCUCCCAAAUGGCGCUGUAUUCAUUUCAGAGCUAUUUGGCUUAUAAGCGGUUCAUAAAGCUCAUGGUAUUGGAAUGAGAUCAUAAGUCUUAUUUGUUAAUCCAAAAGUUAAACUAUCGAUAAACAAUCAAAACUUGUUUAACUUUUUCGGUAAAUUUAGAUUUCCAACAACUUUAGUUCAAGCUAAUUUUGUUUAGAGAAUUUUCCUUCAUCCAAAACAUUGAAAGAAGUCAUGGGCAGGAAGGGGUUAAAUCUAACUAAUUUAAUCAUAUGGGUAAACGUGGUUUACGGCUUAAAUGAAGGUGAAGAAAUAGGCCCCAACGUGGUUUACGGUUUCCUUAAGCGAAGGUGAAGAAAUCGGCCCUUAGCAUCUAUCUCCGAUAGGAUCAGCACAUCCAUUUCAAAAGGGCGUAAUCACAUUUUGUAACCCACAGCUUCUCAUGUCGCUUAUAUGCAGAGCAUUUGUUUUCGUAGCUGUGUACAAAAACCAUUGGAACUGU